GUUAAUGUAGCUUACUAUUAAAGCAAGGCACUGAAAAUGCCUAGACGGGCCCAAGCCCCAUAAACA
Non-coding RNA from Carlito syrichta (Philippine tarsier), 66 nucleotides. NCBI's taxonomy places the organism in Eukaryota, Metazoa, Chordata, Mammalia, Primates, Tarsiidae. The record is from Ensembl.